Zootermopsis nevadensis is the source of this 1934-nucleotide long non-coding RNA. RefSeq lists it as uncharacterized. The record is from RefSeq and is a predicted model, not a curated record. NCBI's taxonomy places the organism in Eukaryota, Metazoa, Arthropoda, Insecta, Blattodea, Termopsidae.
UUAAUUCAUGCAAGAGAGAAAGGUAGUGUUAUUGCUUUGAAGUGAUUUUAGUGUUGGAAAUUACGAUAUGAAAUUAUUACAAAAUGCUAGAUUAUGUUUACUGUGGUUUAUUAUAACAAUUCAACAUUAAAAAGUUCUUUCAAGUGCAAAGGGAAAUCUUAGUGAUAUAAAACUUGGUGCAGUAAUAGACAUGCUAGUCGCUGUGUGCUUCUGAGCCAUGAAGGUCGUUGGGACAACGUGACAGACAAGGUAUGUCUUUCGAAUGGCUGUAAAAUGGAGUACGAUACAGGGGCAUCUGAUGAUUUUCGAUUUCGUCCUGUGGGGACGUGGUGGCAAAACUGAACAGAUUCCUAACCUUGGCACUAGAAGGAAGUGAGUGGCCAGCUUUACGCUCCGGCUGCCUUAACCCCGAGCAAAGGCUUCCAUUAUUUACUGGAUACAAGGCUGGUAGGAUCCCUGAGCCUGACUGGAAGUUGUGGCGUACAGAAAAUUACAACCCUGCCUGGAAUCGAACCCUAACCUGGUCCAUAUAUCCACUGGGCUGUCACAGCUUCUGGAUUCUGAACAUUGCUCUGCAAGAGAGUCAGAAAGAAUCCGAAUAGGAAUUUUGAAAGAUAUUGAUGGAAGGAAAUUAUGCCAAUAUUCUAAGCGAAAUCUAAGAAUUUCCGUUGUUUUAAACCUCUAUAAACAGGAAAUGUAUCAGCGUUGUAUAUUCAGUUGUCUUAUGUCGUUAGGUGUGUUUUCACUGAGCGGGAAAAUUGUCAGUCGGAAAAAAAUUCUGGUUGGUAAAGAUUUGUAAACACCUUGUGUAGUUGUACUGUGACCUGACAUGAAAAUCUGUUUAAUAAAAUGAAGGUUAAGUGCCUGGAUAUCCUGUCAAGAAGGGAACAACUCAGAUAUUCUUAAGGGUUUCUCAGCAUCGAUGAUGUCGAAUAGACUUUUAAGUUGGUUGUCACUCGGGUAUUUCAGGAUUUAUUCCGAGUACCCGUGGUCUUGCACUAAAAGAAACUGUUGAGACCAGCUGUUUCUAAAUGCGUGGAGUAUUCUUUGUAGUCUGGGAUUACUCGGAAUUUGCACCAGUGGAAAUUAUAGGAACUGUGUGCCUGUACGUUGACCAUUAAAUAUUAUCAUUACUCAGAUAUAGUUCUUGCUAGCCUCACCAGUAAGAAAGUAAAUUCUUCUGAAACAUAUUAAAAAUUGUGCUAGUGUUUACGCGAGGUGAAUAAAACCACAAAACGAUCUAAUUAAUCUGUGAUGAAAUGUAUCCGGUCCUAAGUGCAUUAGAAGCAUGUACCUACAUGUGUUACUGAUUUCGAUUCUCGAUGGAGUCGAUUGUUCUUCUUUUCGAUAUUUGUGGUACGUAAUCGAUAGUAAGCUCCAGUGAAACGAGAGUGGUUAGUCGUUUCUAACUUUAAAAUACGCUCUCGCUUCGUCUUUGUUAGUUACAUAAAGCAAAGUUGAACCUACUCUGGGGUAAGGAAACUUGAAAAUAAGUGUUAUUUAUCCUUUAUCUGAAGUUAGUUCCACAUUCUUUGAUAGGAAUGUACUUAAACUCGUGUAACAUGGCCUCGUAUUUGAAAAUCGAUAAAUCAUAGCUAAAUUUAUACAAAUAAAUGUGGUGUAGUCGUAAGAAGUAAUUUUAAUCAACUCUGAUAGGAAUGUUAAGAAGGCUGUAUGCACAGCUCUGGAGACUGACUUCGGCUUUAGAAUUUUUGGCCUUGUACAUCUGACUAGCCCUUUUAUAGCAGAGCUAAUCUGAAGAAUAAGAACAAGAAGUUUGCAGCCGAAGAUAUCUUGACAUAGAUGUAUUCCUUCAUCACCGAUGAUUUAUUUGGAAUCUAAAUGUCGCCGCAAAAUAACACACACAGACACUCUCUCUCGUGUGUUGUUUAUAUCUUUUUAAUUAUGUGUAAAUAAAACUCUCAACUACAGUA